Molecule: ribosomal RNA, 347 nt
Filed under: uncultured soil bacterium
Lineage: Bacteria
Description: bacterial SSU rRNA
Rfam family: Bacterial small subunit ribosomal RNA
Source: RNAcentral
AGAUUGAACGCUGGCGGCAUGCCUUACACAUGCAAGUCGAACGGCAGCACGGGAGCAAUCCUGGUGGCGAGUGGCGAACGGGUGAGUAAUAUAUCGGAACGUGCCCAGUCGGUGGGGGAUAACGUAGAGAAAUUUACGCUAAUACCGCAUACGAGUCCAAGGAUGAAAGCGGGGGACCGUAAGGCCUCGCGCGGACUGGAGCGGCUGAUAUCAGAUUAGCUUGUUGGUGAGGUAAAGCUCACCAAGGCGACGAUCUGUAGCGUUGGUUUGAGAGAACACAGCCACACGUAGGACUGAGACGACGGCCCAGACUCCGUACGGGAGCACGCAGAGGAAUAGUUAGGAAC